RNAcentral lists this small RNA (315 nucleotides) under Arabidopsis thaliana (thale cress). RNAcentral's name for it is "ATSL241950". Lineage: Eukaryota; Viridiplantae; Streptophyta; Magnoliopsida; Brassicales; Brassicaceae. The record is from RNAcentral.
UGUUUUUUUUGUGGUUUAGGACGAAAAUAAAAUUUAGUUUAAAUUUUUAUUUAAAUAAUUAAAUAAUAAACUAAAAUAUAUAUAUAAGAAGACAAUUUCUAUAUAUAUAUAUAUAUAUAUAUAUAUAUAUAUCUUAUUAUAUAAAGUACGGUUUUGAAAGUUACUAACUCACAAGAUCAUGACACGUGUCAAUUUUAACAAUUUUAACGAUGUUAGAUUUUAACAUUUGUUAGAUUUUUAUUCUAUUUUUUUUCUAAUAUAAAGUAAAAGAAACUAAAUAAAGAAACAUAUUUACAUAUUUAUAUGUCUAUAUCU